UUCGGAUUGGAGGCUGAAACCCGCCUCCAUGAAGUUGGAUUCGCUAGUAAUCGCGCAUCAGCCAUGGCGCGGUGAAUACGUUCCCGGGUCUUGUACACACCGCCCGUCACACCAUGGGAGCUGGUAACACCCGAAGUCAGUAGUCUAACCGCAAGGAGGACGCUGCCGAAGGUGGGAUUAGCGACUGGGGUGAAGUCGUAACAAGGUAAC
RNAcentral lists this ribosomal RNA (210 nucleotides) under uncultured bacterium. RNAcentral's name for it is "partial 16S ribosomal RNA". It matches the Rfam family "Bacterial small subunit ribosomal RNA", at positions 1292 to 1500 of the family's 1533-position model. The record is from RNAcentral.